CACCUCUAGCAUUACCAGUAUUAGAGGCACUGCCUGCCCAGUGACAUUAGUUUAACGGCCGCGGUAUCCUGACCGUGCAAAGGUAGCAUAAUCAUUUGUUCCUUAAUUAGGGACUUGUAUGAAUGGCCCCACGAGGGUUUAACUGUCUCUUACUUUUAAUCAGUGAAAUUGACCUUCCCGUGAAGAGGCGGGAAUACAAAAAUAAGACGAGAAGACCCUAUGGAGCUUAAAUUAAAGUGUCCAACAAAAUUUAAACUUAAUCCAACAGGAAUAAUAACAUUUUAACUGGGCAACAAAUUUUGGUUGGGGUGACCUCGGAGUAUAACAAAACCUCCGAGCGAUUAUAACCAAGACUUACCCGUCAAGGUGUCAUAAUUUAUUGAUCCAAUCAUAUUGAUCAACGAAACAAGUUACCCUAGGGAUAACAGCGCAAUCCUAUUUAAGAGUCCAUAUCGACAAUAGGGUUUACGACCUCGAUGUUGGAUCAGGACCCCCAAAUGGUGCAGCAGCUAUUAAAGGUUCGUUUGUUCAACG
RNAcentral lists this ribosomal RNA (534 nucleotides) under Crocidura obscurior. RNAcentral describes it as "partial 16S ribosomal RNA". It matches the Rfam family "Bacterial large subunit ribosomal RNA", at positions 1816 to 2586 of the family's 2925-position model. The record is from RNAcentral. Lineage: Eukaryota; Metazoa; Chordata; Mammalia; Eulipotyphla; Soricidae.